AGACCCAGUUCUGACUUUCGUGUCCAAGUGUCAGGCUUCUCAUUUCUGCCUCCAGCUUUUGGGGGAGAAAGACCUGGGCUGGCGAUCCCCCGCUUGAACUGGGAGGUGGCGUCUGCUUGCCGCUCCCUCUUGAGCAGCCAUGAACGACCACAUUCCCCCCAGGCAGGAAUCCCCUUCUAUUUGCUAUCGCUUAGCCUUAGGAGGGGCCUCUUAAACUCUGGCGCUCAAUUACGGCCUUUUUAUUGAAUAAUAACUCAGGUGUGCUUUUCAUUGAGCAUCCCUGAUACCUUUAUUGGUGUUAUUUCAGGAACCCGAAUAAUAAGGAUGAACAAUUAUUUAAAUGCUCAUUAAAGAAAAAAAACACACAAAACACCAAACAGCUCCUAGCAGAGGGAGAGUAGCCUUGCGUUGCAGGAGCCCAACUGCAGGUUGGUUCCCAAGAGUCACAAUAAAAAAUGAUGUUUCCUCAGCGUUUGCAUGUUUUGACUUCCCUGGCACCUCGACUGCAUCAGGCAGGCUGCUUUAAAAUUCCGCCGCGGUUUUAUUACUGCCAGCCUUACGCAGGAAGGCUUCCCUGAACCAGCCACUGCCAGGUACAAGACGGAUCAUAAAAAAAUGAAACAUGCAGAGCCCAGCCGUAACACCUGCACGGUGAUGCGCAGAUUUUGUCGGGUGUGUCCACGUGCGGGAUCUCGUUUGCUCCCUCGUCCCUCCUCGGAAGCAGGCGUGUUGUUCCCCCUCCACUGAUGAGGAAACCGAGGCUCAGAGAGGUUAGGUACCUCGAUUGAUAUCACUCUGCCGCAAAUAAGGCAGAGGUAGGCACCCGGGCUGCUGUCCAGGGUUCUCGUAACUGAGAGGUUGCAGGGAGGAUUUGGAAUUUGAGAAAAACAUACAGGUCUCCCUUUGGAGCGUGCAGAGCCAAGAAGGUCCAGUGGAUUCUAAUAUGUCUGAGGAAGGAAGCGCGCAAGCAGACCAGGAAAACGUGGGCCCUGGAUUCUGUGUCUCCAAGCCCGAUGGAAGGAUCCGAGUGCAGCUGACGUUUCUGGGUCUGUAGGCUGCAUUGCUGGCUAGGUUGCUUCUGAAUCUCUUCGGCAUGGACCUAUCCAUUGGAACCCCAGCAGCCACAGUGGCAGCGUCUUGGGACAUGGAUCCUCUCUGGGCCGCCGGCGAAGGUGGAUCUUCCAGCCCCCUCCCCCGGCAGGUGGCCUGGAGCUCCAGGACGGGGUGACAGCCCUGAGUCUGAAGCAGCCGGCUCCCAGGGGUCUUCUGCGUUUAAACACGAGCCGUCUGCGACCAUGUGUGUGGGGGCUUUAAAAUACUCAGCAAGGUGGCGAAGAGAAAAAUAAAAAAAAAUGUUCCAAGUGGCUCUUCUCUGACAUGGUUCAGUUCUCAAAAAGCGAGCAGCCCCCGUGUUGAAGGCUACUUCCAGGCGAAAGAUAACCAGGAGUGGUGACAUGGAAAAGAACGUUUUAUUUUCAAAGGAAAUUCCAGGAGAGUAGAAAGAGCGUUGUUUAGGGAGAGCCUUUGAGGGCUGGGAGAUUUAAAAAGUAUUGGAAGCUGUCAGGUCCUGGGAAGUGCGUCACCUGCAAUGAACCUUGCCACCUGCAGUGGAGGGACGUGGGGGAACCAAGUUGGUUCAGGGGUGCGGGAAGAGGGGCCCUGGGAUCCCAUUCGAUGGAUACAACACAGAACGCUUCCCCACCUGAUGAACAGGUAACCUCCUCCCCAGGCGGCUUCAGUUAGAAUCUUAAAAGUAUCUUUUGCUCUUUUUUUUUUUUUUUUUUUUUUUUAAUUUUAAACAAGAAAUGGAAACAUCUGAGUUCUUUAGAACAUGCAACUACAUGCUUCUCGGCAGCUGCCAUUUGAGUUUUAAAAAUACAUAUAUAUUUUAAUGGGCCAUUCUGGCUGCAGAGCUUCACGUGAAGGCCUAUGACCUCGUGGAAGUGGCGCUUCAUUUGUGUUUUUAGCGGCUGGUCAGAAAGGGAGUUUUUAUUUAUCUUCUUAUGUAUUACUUAUUUAUUGUGCCUUGCUCCAGAAAAAAGUUUGAGGGGGACUCUGCAUACGAUGGCUGCUGGCCAGUCCUCCUGUGAGCCUGUCUGCGGGGAGAGUUCUGCUCCCCACAUCCAUUAACCAAUAAGCCAGGGAAGGAGCCGGUGCCGCCAAGAAGCAGGUGCUUUUCUGUGCCAGCGGUGUAGCACACAGCAAGGGGGGCUGGGGAGUGCAGCGGCCUGCCUGCUCCAGCCUAGGGCCUCCUGCCUGUUUGCGGGGGGGUGCAGCCCCCCUCGGAGGCGCCCACAUGGGGAACUGAAUCAUGCAGAUGUAACUGGGGGAAGGCAGGUACCCAGGCAUCCUAGAGAAAGAGAAUCGUCUCAGAAUUUCUCUGGGAGCUGUGUGUGAGGUGAAGCUGAACUUAGAAGAAGAAGAACUUAGAAGAAGCUCUGAACUUUAGAGCUCUUUUUUCCUUUCUCCCCCCACCCCCCCACCGCCUAUACCGGCUCCCCCCACUGGUCUCCUCAACCACCAAACAUGCAGACCAAACAAGACACGAGUGUGCAGUGAGGCCCGCGUGCAGACACCGGGCUUGGGAGGCAUGUCUUGGUUUCUGGCAGUAGGUGAUCUGGCCCAGUUGGCUCUGUGUCUGGGAGACUCUCCACCCUGCCCCCCUGCCUGGCUUGCGGGGGUGCAGGCCCUUGGUACCUGUUGGGUCUAAACUGUACAGAACUCGGGGCAUCUGGUCCCGGAGCCGCUUGGUUUUUACUGCUAAGGGUGAAGCCCUGGAGAAGCAUAGUUUGUGGGUGAAUCUCCCGGGGAGAUGGGGGUUGGCUUUACCCCCCCCCCCCACACACGGACCCAGCCUAUGGUAAGGAACAUGCCUGCAGCUACUGUACUUUAUCAGCGUUCAAAUCUCCCAGGUACAAGAAAGUCUGAAAAAACAAAAGGGGUUUUCAAGAUUGUGGCUGUGAUGUCCUGUUCCCUUUUCCUUCCCUGGUCAGUGGGCAGAUCUGAUGGUGGGAGGCAGGGCCUGCCCACACCCGCCCCAUCCACGGGAGGCAUCAGGAGAGAGUCUGGCUGGAGACGCAGCCAGUUUCACCUGUAGGUCAAGGACAGCGGCCACAGGACCGGCUCUGGAUGGAACAUGCAGGCUCCAUGCAGUGACUGCUCCAGUGAGGGACACAGACAGGGACGUGUUGGUUCUGUGCCACCAGUGUCCACUCGGAUUUGCUCCUGAUGCCACCAGUGCCAGUUUGUCACAAAUCCCUGCUUGCUGCCAUUCAUCCUGACUGUCUUGUCAGAUGUGACAUUCCUUCACUCAGCAUUUCUGGCACAGGACUUCAUGACCUCCCCCGCCCCCUCCUGGGGUCUGUAGAGGCCAGGUUCGACACUACUGCUGGGGGGGAACUUGUGUGAGGCCAUUCGAGCAAUGCGGGUGGGAGCCAUCACCCAGUCGUGAUCUUUACAACAUGCUGAAUUUCCUCUGUCGCUACACAUCCGUGUUGAAAUUAGACAGUGCUUCGGCGGUCCCGUGGUGGCUCAGUGGAAACGAACCUGGCUAGUAUCCAUGAGGAUGCGGGUUGGAUCCCUGGCCUUGCUCAGUGGGUCGGGGAUCCAGCGUUGCCGUGAGCUGUGGUGUGGGUCACAGACGUGGCUUGGAUCCCACGUUGCUGCGGCUCUGACGUAGGCCAGCAGGUAGAACUCCGAUUAGACCCCUAGCCUGGGAACCUCCAUAUGCCAUGG
This 3735-nucleotide long non-coding RNA is filed under the name Sus scrofa (pig). RNAcentral's name for it is "lncRNA (ENSSSCG00005013799.1)". Lineage: Eukaryota; Metazoa; Chordata; Mammalia; Artiodactyla; Suidae. The record is from RNAcentral.